ACAUUAUCAAGAGCGGUGCUGAGGGUUCUGGCCCGACGACGCACCCGCCAACCUGGGGACGCCCCCAAGGUGGCAACGCCAGCCCGGUCACACGGGGACGAUAAGGC
Molecule: non-coding RNA, 107 nt
Filed under: Acidobacteriota bacterium
Lineage: Bacteria; Pseudomonadati; Acidobacteriota
Description: Acidobacteria bacterium SAM-I sequence
Rfam family: SAM riboswitch aptamer (S box leader)
About the family: The SAM riboswitch is found upstream of a number of genes which code for proteins involved in methionine or cysteine biosynthesis in Gram-positive bacteria. The SAM riboswitch acts at the level of transcription termination control.
Source: RNAcentral